AUGGCCUGGACCCCGCUCCUCCUGGGCCUCCUGGCUCACUGCACAGGUUCUGUAUCUUCCUAUGAGCUGAAUCAGCCGCCCUUGUUUUCUGUGAGCCCGGGAGGGGAUGCCAAGAUGACCUGUAGGGGAAGCAACAUUGGAAGCUAUGCUGUUAACUGGUACCAGCAGAAGCCAGACCAGGCCCCUGUGCUGGUCAUCUACUAUGAUAACAGGCGGCCCUCAGGGAUCCCUGACCGCUUCUCUGGCUCCAACUCUGGGGGCACAGCCACCCUGACCAUCACGGGUACACGCCCUGAAGAUGAGGCCGACUAUUUCUGUCAUGUGUGGGAUAGUAGUAGUAGUUCUCACAGUGGCACAGACAGAUGGGGAAGUGGUGGUUUAGGGCAUUAA
This is a non-coding RNA of Sorex araneus (European shrew), 390 nucleotides long. The record is from the annotation of a RefSeq genome assembly. Lineage: Eukaryota; Metazoa; Chordata; Mammalia; Eulipotyphla; Soricidae.